GAACGGGUGAGUAACACGUGGUGUGAUCUGCCCUGCACUUUGGGAUAAGCCUGGGAAACUGGGUCUAAUACCGAAUAUGACCACGCUCUUCAUGGGGUGUGGUGGAAAGCUUUUGCGGUGUGGGAUGGGCCCGCGGCCUAUCAGCUUGUUGGUGGGGUAAUGGCCUACCNNNNNNNCGACGGGUAGCCGGCCUGAGAGGGUGACCGGCCACACUGGGACUGAGAUACGGCCCAGACUCCUACGGGAGGCAGCAGUGGGGAAUAUUGCACAAUGGGCGCAAGCCUGAUGCAGCGACGCCGCGUGAGGGAUGACGGCCUUCGGGUUGUAAACCUCUUUCACCAGGGACGAAGCGCAAGUGACGGUACCUGGAGAAGAAGCACCGGCCAACUACGUGCCAGCAGCCGCGGUAAUACGUAGGGUGCGAGCGUUGUCCGGAAUUACUGGGCGUAAAGAGCUCGUAGGUGGUUUGUCGCGUUGUUCGUGAAAACUCACAGCUUAACUGUGGGCGUGCGGGCGAUACGGGCAGACUAGAGUACUGCAGGGGAGACUGGAAUUCCUGGUGUAGCGGUGGAAUGCGCAGAUAUCAGGAGGAACACCGGUGGCGAAGGCGGGUCUCUGGGCAGUAACUGACGCUGAGGAGCGAAAGCGUGGGGAGCGAACAGGAUUAGAUACCCUGGUAGUCCACGCCGUANACGGUGGGUACUAGGUGUGGGUUCCUUCCUUGGGAUCCGUGCCGUA
This 738-nucleotide ribosomal RNA is filed under the name uncultured bacterium. RNAcentral describes it as "bacterial SSU rRNA". It matches the Rfam family "Bacterial small subunit ribosomal RNA", at positions 100 to 850 of the family's 1533-position model. The record is from RNAcentral.